UACGAAGGGGGCUAGCGUUGCUCGGAAUUACUGGGCGUAAAGGGCGCGUAGGCGGCACUGUUAGUCAGGCGUGAAAGUCCUGGGCUCAACCUGGGAACUGCGCUUGAUACGGCAGAGCUAGAGGAUGGAAGAGGGUCGCGGAAUUCCCAGUGUAGAGGUGAAAUUCGUAGAUAUUGGGAAGAACACCGGUGGCGAAGGCGGCGACCUGGUCCAUUACUGACGCUGAGGCGCGACAGCGUGGGGAGCAACAGG
This 252-nucleotide ribosomal RNA is filed under the name uncultured bacterium. RNAcentral's name for it is "partial 16S ribosomal RNA". It matches the Rfam family "Bacterial small subunit ribosomal RNA", at positions 524 to 775 of the family's 1533-position model. The record is from RNAcentral.